GAGCGGUAGCACAGAGAGCUUGCUCUCGGGUGACGAGCGGCGGACGGGUGAGUAAUGUCUGGGAAACUGCCUGAUGGAGGGGGAUAACUACUGGAAACGGUAGCUAAUACCGCAUAAUGUCGCAAGACCAAAGUGGGGGACCUUCGGGCCUCAUGCCAUCAGAUGUGCCCAGAUGGAAUUAGCUAGUAGGUGGGAUAACGGCUCACCUAGGCGACGAUCCCUAGCUGGUCUGAGAGGAUGACCAGCCACACUGGAACUGAGACACGGUCCAGACUCCUACGGGAGGCAGCAGUGGGGAAUAUUGCACAAUGGGCGCAAGCCUGAUGCAGCCAUGCCGCGUGUGUGAAGAAGGCCUUCGGGUUGUAAAGCACUUUCAGCGGGGAGGAAGGCGAUAAGGUUAAUAACCUUGUCGAUUGACGUUACCCGCAGAAGAAGCACCGGCUAACUCCGUG
RNAcentral lists this ribosomal RNA (452 nucleotides) under uncultured bacterium. Its description in RNAcentral is "bacterial SSU rRNA". It matches the Rfam family "Bacterial small subunit ribosomal RNA", at positions 64 to 507 of the family's 1533-position model. The record is from RNAcentral.